AUUGAACGCUGGCGGCAUGCCUUACACAUGCAAGUCGAACGGUAACGGGCUUUCGGGUGCCGACGAGUGGCGAACGGGCGAGUAAUACACCCGAACGUGCCCGAUCCUGGGGGUUAACGUGGCGAAAGGUUUGCUAAUACCGUACACGAUAUAAGGUUGAAAGCCGGGGUGCGCAAGGGAUUGCGCGGGCGGAUCGGGCGCUGGUAGAGUAGGAUGUUGGUGGGAUUAGAGUUUACCGAGCCGAAGAUCUGUAGGUGGUCUGAGAGGAUGAUGAGCCACACGAGAAGUGAGACACGGCCCAGACGCCUGCGGGAGGCAGCAGUGGGGAAUGGUGGGCAAUGGGCGCGAGCCUGAUCCAGCCGGGCCGCGUGCGAGAUGAAGGCCUUCGGGUUGUAAACUGCUUUUGUGCGGAACAAAAAGCCUUCGUUUGAGACGGGAGGGUCAUGACGGUACCGGAAAAAUAAGCACCGGCUAACUACGUG
This 482-nucleotide ribosomal RNA is filed under the name uncultured bacterium. RNAcentral describes it as "partial 16S ribosomal RNA". It matches the Rfam family "Bacterial small subunit ribosomal RNA", at positions 29 to 507 of the family's 1533-position model. The record is from RNAcentral.